RNAcentral lists this ribosomal RNA (831 nucleotides) under uncultured bacterium. RNAcentral's name for it is "bacterial SSU rRNA". It matches the Rfam family "Bacterial small subunit ribosomal RNA", at positions 8 to 828 of the family's 1533-position model. The record is from RNAcentral.
AGAGUUUGAUCCGGGCUCAGAUUGAACGCUGGCGGCAGGCUUAACACAUGCAAGUCGAGCGGCAGCGGAAAGAAGCUUGCUUCUUUGCCGGCGAGCGGCGGACGGGUGAGUAAUGUCUGGGGAUCUGCCCGAUGGAGGGGGAUAACUACUGGAAACGGUAGCUAAUACCGUAUAAUGUCGCAAGACCAAAGUGGGGGACCUUCGGGCCUCACACCAUCGGAUGAACCCAGAUGGGAUUAGCUAGUAGGUGGGGUAAUGGCUCACCUAGGCGACGAUCCCUAGCUGGUCUGAGAGGAUGACCAGCCACACUGGAACUGAGACACGGUCCAGACUCCUACGGGAGGCAGCAGUGGGGAAUAUUGCACAAUAGGGGAAACCCUGAUGCAGCCAUGCCGCGUGUGUGAAGAAGGCCUUCGGGUUGUAAAGCACUUUCAGCGGGGAGGAAGGCAAUGGCGUUAAUAGUGUCAUUGAUUGACGUUACCCGCAGAAGAAGCACCGGCUAACUCCGUGCCAGCAGCCGCGGUAAUACGGAGGGUGCGAGCGUUAAUCGGAAUUACUGGGCGUAAAGCGUACGCAGGCGGUCUGUUAAGUCAGAUGUGAAAUCCCCGGGCUUAACCUGGGAACUGCAUUUGAAACUGGCAGGCUAGAGUCUCGUAGAGGGGGGUAGAAUUCCAGGUGUAGCGGUGAAAUGCGUAGAGAUCUGGAGGAAUACCGGUGGCGAAGGCGGCCCCCUGGACGAAGACUGACGCUCAGGUACGAAAGCGUGGGGAGCAAACAGGAUUAGAUACCCUGGUAGUCCACGCUGUAAACGAUGUCGAUUUGAAGGUUGUG